Molecule: ribosomal RNA, 253 nt
Filed under: uncultured bacterium
Lineage: Bacteria
Description: partial 16S ribosomal RNA
Rfam family: Bacterial small subunit ribosomal RNA
Source: RNAcentral
UACGAAGGGGGCUAGCGUUGUUCGGAUUUACUGGGCGUAAAGCGCACGUAGGCGGACUUUUAAGUCAGGGGUGAAAUCCCGGGGCUCAACCCCGGAACUGCCUUUGAUACUGGAAGUCUUGAGUUCGAGAGAGGUGAGUGGAAUUCCGAGUGUAGAGGUGAAAUUCGUAGAUAUUCGGAGGAACACCAGUGGCGAAGGCGACACGCUGGGCCACACCUGACGCUGAAACGCGACAGCAUGGGGAGCGAACGGG